This 249-nucleotide ribosomal RNA is filed under the name uncultured Planctomycetaceae bacterium. RNAcentral's name for it is "partial 16S ribosomal RNA". It matches the Rfam family "Bacterial small subunit ribosomal RNA", at positions 355 to 599 of the family's 1533-position model. Lineage: Bacteria; Pseudomonadati; Planctomycetota; Planctomycetia; Planctomycetales; Planctomycetaceae. The record is from RNAcentral.
UCGAGAAUCUUCGGCAAUGGGCGAAAGCCUGACCGAGCGACGCCGCGUGCGGGAUGAAGGCCUUCGGGUUGUAAACCGCUGUCGUAGAGGAGGAAGCGCAAGCGGGUUCUCCAUUUUGUUUGACCUAUUCUAGGCGGAAGUACGGGCUAAGUUCGUGCCAGCAGCCGCGGUAAGACGAACAGUACAAACGAUACUCGGAAUUACUGGGCCUAAAGGGGGCGUAGGCUGAGCGGAAAGUUGGGUGGGACA